RNAcentral lists this ribosomal RNA (440 nucleotides) under uncultured bacterium. Its description in RNAcentral is "bacterial SSU rRNA". It matches the Rfam family "Bacterial small subunit ribosomal RNA", at positions 340 to 773 of the family's 1533-position model. The record is from RNAcentral.
UACGGGAGGCAGCAGUGGGGAAUAUUGCACAAUGGGCGCAAGCCUGAUGCAGCCAUGCCGCGUGUAUGAAGAAGGCCUUCGGGUUGUAAAGUACUUUCAGUCGUGAGGAAGGUGUUAAGGUUAAUAACCUUAGCAAUUGACGUUAGCGACAGAAGAAGCACCGGCUAACUCCGUGCCAGCAGCCGCGGUAAUACGGAGGGUGCGAGCGUUAAUCGGAAUUACUGGGCGUAAAGGGCACGCAGGCGGUUAAUUAAGUUGGAUGUGAAAUCCCCGGGCUUAACCUGGGAAUGGCAUUCAAGACUGGUUAGCUAGAGUCUUGUAGAGGGGGUAGAAUUCCAUGUGUAGCGGUGAAAUGCGUAGAGAUGUGGAGGAAUACCGGUGGCGAAGGCGGCCCCUGGGACAAAGGACUGACGCUCAUGUGCGAGGCGUGGGGAGCAAAC